GCUGCAGAAAAAAAAAAAAAAAAACACAGAGAAACUAUGUUCCAUACAAGCAACAACUCUGGUUGAGAAGGCAUUCUUCUCUAGUGGAUUCUAUGGUAUUCAUGCUCUCUCAGCCUCCUCCCUGCAAGAACACAAGAAGGGUGCUCACACCCUGACCUUCUCUCAAAUCGAUAUGAGGGCUUUGCCAGGAAGGAGGGCAGGCAGUGACCAGGGCACCACAAUAAACUCGAAAUGACAACUCAGUAAGCCUGGCGUUAGACAAGGUGCCUUAUAAGGCUUGUCCCAAUCCACUCUCACAACAUCGUGAGGUGGGAAACAACAGCAGAAUUGACAGCUUAGGGAUUGUUAUGAGUAUUAAACAAGAUCAUAGCUCCGGCAAAGGGUUCGGGACCCUGGCACAUUCUAAGCUAAAGUUCAAUGGAUGUCAGCUGUAAUCAGUAUUAUCAUCCUACUUUAUAGGUCAAGAAACCAACUUGGAAAAACUAGGAAAUGUCCCCAGUGUCACACAGCUAAUAAACCAGUGGUAGAGUUGGAUUUGAAGCCUGGUGGAUUUACUCCUGAGCCCACCCACCACUGCUUCCACCGGAAAUGAUGUUCAUAGGAAGGAGUUAAUUGAGGAUAACACAGAAAUGAAACAUGAGACUAGAAGAAUGAGUUGUUGGAUAGAAAAAGAAAAACAUGGUACCUGGGCUGCAGUUUUUUUGUGCUUUGCAGCAAUCUCCUUAAUCUUGGGAUCCUCCAGCAGAGAAGGGUCCUCUGGCUUGGCCCUAGGGGCAGAAAAAGAUAACGAUGUGAACAGUCGCCAUGGUUACCAUGUGCAGAUGGACACCACUCCAAUCAGGGUUUCAAGAGUGAUCAUCAGAGCCUCUCCAUCUGGAAGACAGGCGGGAGGACCUGGAAGCUUGGGUCCUUCCCACGGGCUCUCAGCAUUUUGCAAAGGCUGGUUCGCCCUUGGGUGGCUGAAGUGGAAAUACUCCCAGAGGGUCAAGCAUGUCACUCUUGUUUGUUUGUGUGUUUAAUUUCCAUUUUUUCCCACUUUCAUCCCAUUUAGGUGUACCAAACACAUUACCUUAGACACAUUUUUCUUUCCAGUGACUUAUGGUCUCAUACCAACAUUUACCAAUUAUAAAAUUAUGUUUUUAAAAUUAUCAAGAGAAAGACCCACCCCUUGGAAGGCUCACCAAGGUCUAUCCGGAGAGCCCAGGGGGCUGUAGGCUGUAACGGUGAUGCCCUUGGAGUGGCAGUACUGGAUCAGUUUCUCCUGUGUGAGGUAGGGGUGGCACUCAACCUGCAAUAGCAAACAAUCCUCAGCAUGGGGGAAGGCGGCUUGUUUUUUGAGUUGUUCAUAGGGAGUUCUACACACACAAAAAGACAACCAAGCAAAGGCCAAACACCUGCCCACUGAUAUACUUGCUAAAUCAUCCAUGAGAUCAGCCUCACACCUCCCCAAAGUAUCCUGAUCACUGACCCCUGGGAUGAGACUCAGUACAUAGCACUGGACGUUCCUCCCAAUGUUUAAAACAGGGCAAGACCCUUACCCUUAUACCACACAGAAUUUACCUGGUUAGUCACUGGUUUAUAUUUCAGUCCAGGUUUGUUUAAGAGCCUCUCGAUCUGGAAGUGGUUGAAAUUGGAGAUCCCAAGGGCUUUCACCAGCCCUGCAUCCACCAGCUCCUCCAUGGCCUGUCAUAGAAAACAAUACCUUUUGGGCAGCCCCAGAGGGACUCCAGGGACCCUGGCUUGCCUUAGUCCUCCCUGGGGCAGAAAUUGCUUAGGAUCUACUGCAACAGUUAGUACAACCAUUCACAGGAAAUUUCAGUUCAGGGCCUGGGUAACCAUCAGUGACUGGUUCCAGCCCUACCGUCCCUCCUUAGCCCAAUUAAACUAGGAGUAACAGGUAAAGAUUUUAUGUGCUUGCCACUCUCACCUUACUCGUAAAGAGAUACAUAAAAAAUUAUACUUCUGUACAUAGGGGAAAUAUGAAAGUUUUGUCAUGAAAAAAUAAAGUAUAAGUCAAAAUUGACAUUUGCAAGUUGAUGAGAUGAUUUGAUUUUUAAUUAAGCCACAUGAUAGCAGGGAGCUACUGUUGUGUUUGUGCAUUGUACACCCAGACCUGGGCAAGCUGAGUUAGUUGGGAAGAGGCUGCAGCAUGUGGAGAAGCCUCAUUUGUGGAUUCUGAAUCAAUCUCUCCCACACCAACCAUGGUUUGCUUUGCAGGAAAGUCAUGCAUCUAGAUUAUGCCCUGGCAGGGGCACCCGACCAAGAAGUUAUGUGGUGCUGAAACCUGACCCACUGCCUGCAUACCCAGCCAUGCUUCCUGGUACAGAAACUACAGAUGUUUCUAUACCCAAGGAAGGGAAUAUUUGUAUACUUAUUAGCCUAUAUUGGGCAUUUUCCAAACUUGCCCAGAGAUAUCAUAUAUGUUAGCAGCAGCCUCCAAUGCAACAUGUAUUUAUUAGCCAUCGAUUACAUGUCCAGAUCCUGCCCAGAAGUUGUCAGGAUGUAAAAGUAUACAAUGUGCUUCCUUCUUCUGGGAUUCUCAUAGUCUGAUUAAAGUGAUAGGGUUCCCUUCUGUGGAGCAAUCAACCAUGACACUGAGGCUGCCUCGGAUAACAUGACAGUGGUAUAGACAGAGUCAGGGAGGGCAGAGAAGGAAGAGAUUCACACAGCCUGCAGUUGUCAGGGGAGACCUUCAGGUAGAGCUUAAACUGAGCCUCAAAAAAAAAAAGA
This is a long non-coding RNA of Sapajus apella (tufted capuchin), 2730 nucleotides long. RefSeq lists it as uncharacterized. The record is from RefSeq and is a predicted model, not a curated record. Lineage: Eukaryota; Metazoa; Chordata; Mammalia; Primates; Cebidae. The transcript is spliced from 2 exons.